UUUCCUAAAAAACAGCCCUCCCAUAUCCCUAACCUCAUCCCCACCAUCCCACCCAUCGCCUGCAAUGGAUCCGCCGCCGCCCUGAUCCCGACCAUCCGCCGCCGCUCCCUGCCCCAUCCACCACCGGUGCUCACCGCUUUCACCCUCUGUUGCAUCCCAGCACCUCCAUAGCCACCGUGGACCAUCUCUCUCCUUGGUCCUCUCUCUUGGAUCAGCAUGCGGCGACAGAUGCUUUCAGUCGCGUGGUGGUGAUGCGGCUGGUCGGGGAACGAGGGUGAGGCGGGCUGUGUCCCAUUCCUUGAUCUUCCUCCACCUCCAAUUCCUCCUCUCCCACCGAACGUCAUGUCCGUAGUUACUGCGACAGGCGCUCUGCUCUCCCGUGGCAGCGAUGCGUAUAGCGACAACAAUGUCCUUUUGUGCCCCUCCACUCUUCAGACUGCCGAUGCACGAAAGUACGCGGAGAAUAUCAUGCUCCGCUUAGCAAAUUCGUCCGUGUUCGAAGUGGCUGCUCGGCAAGAGCUUGUGCCGGAUGUUCAUCAUCAACGCCAGUUAGGGGUUCAGGCUCCUGUCGAACUCAUGUCAUCAGCCAUACGGACCUGCAUGUAUUUGAUAGUUUGCUCAAUCAGAUUUAUGCGUUCAACCACAGCUAAGGCUACCACACUACUUCAUUGAGAUUUCUUUACUACAGGACAUGGAUUAAUAAUAUCCAACAAUACAGUCAUGCUUUCUUAUAUUUACUUUCAGUUCUAAAUACAUUUGUGAUUUUCUAUAUGCUGUCUUACUAAACUGUGUGUGCUAAACCAACCAUAUGGUAUAUAGAAAGGAUUCUACAAUGUUAGCUUAUAUUGCAAACUCUUGAAAAUAUGCGGUCAUUUUACUGUUUUUGCCGUGAACUUGGGGAGCUUGGGACAGAGUAUGGUGUCAAUAAUCAGUAUAUACCAGAACAAUAUUUUUGUGAUAUUGUAUAUACUGACUUAGUGAUAGUGGAGUAUUUACCACAUUUUUUCCAUGGACUUUAUACUGCAUUUUUGAACUGGUUAGAAUAGCUGACGCCUUUUAUAUCUUCCUUGUGGUAUAUGCUACCAUCCAAGGGAGUAUAUAAGGUACUAAUUUCAAGUAUAUACUAUUGUACUAUAUUUUGUCUAUAUACAUCUGCAACCAAGUAGUAUGUGCACUGCUCUUUGUGCACGGCAGUAUAUACAUCAUUUUUUGUAAGGCAAUAUAUAACAGCUUUUUUGUGAACCAGUAUACUACUUUUUUUAGUCAGUAUAUAUAUACAUAAUCUUUUAGUCGAUAUAUACUACUUUUCUUUAGUCGGUAUAUACUACUAUUCUUGAUAUAAAGGGUAAAGCAGCGCACACAUGACGCGCAGCAGCCGUUGUCGACUAGACGGUGGUGCUGCUGCAUGGAUCUAUCAGUGCAUGCCACGCCGCCAUCAUUUCUUAUUGCUGCCGUUAUUGAUGAGAUUGGCAGUGCCGUCGUAUGGGUCGAUCAGUGCACACCAUGCUGCCACGUUGUCGACGAGAUGGUAGUGCCGUCUUAUCCAUCGAUGCUAUGUGACUUGCUUCACCAAUGGCUUUGCACCUUGAUCCAGAUUGUUUUCAUGCAAAGCCUGUCAUGUUUGCCUCCUAAUGACCACAUCCACUAAGUCAGCUCUAUCUCUCUACUACUGCAACUAACUAACUGUGAUGAUCUUCUCCAGGUUUUUUGGCUGGAUACUGAGAUGGCACCAUUGUGCUGCUGAAGUUAAACCCUGUUUAUUGGGACGUACAAGCGGGCGGCAAGCACACAUGGCGGCAGGAGACAAGCCAUAUUUUACCAAUGACUGCUGCUAGGAUUGAUGUCCUAUUGCCGAAGAAACAAUGGCAACAGUCGCACCGUUUUUUCUUAGUUUCUUUCCAAGAUAUUCAUGUAUCGGCCUCACGCGAGCCGUUGCUGGAGCCCAAUCAUGGCGAGGAUACAUGGUGGAUGGCCCAACGAUCCUUAGGGAUGGAAGGAUCCCAUGACUACAGGAAUAGCAAUAAAUAAACUAUGUACUAACUAGAGCAAUGAUAUAUUUCAUAGGUCUAGGAUAUAUAUGUGAAAUAACAAUUUACUUCAUAUAACUACUAGGCUGACAAGUAUUUGGCAUUCUGUAUUUUUAAUAAGUAGAUGAUUUUUCUACAAUAGUUCCAUGUUCAUAUGUCAUGCUUCUCUGGUCCAAUAGGAAACAAUGUCAUUGAUGGACCAAAGUAUAUAGGGAUUUAUAUCAUCCUGGUGUAUAUUUCUACAAGUAGUUUAUACGAGCCUCAAAACACUGAUUUCCAAA
This is a long non-coding RNA of Triticum aestivum (bread wheat), 2308 nucleotides long. RefSeq lists it as uncharacterized. The record is from RefSeq and is a predicted model, not a curated record. The transcript has 3 exons. NCBI's taxonomy places the organism in Eukaryota, Viridiplantae, Streptophyta, Magnoliopsida, Poales, Poaceae.